UACGGAGGGUGCAAGCGUUAUCCGGAUUUACUGGGUUUAAAGGGAGCGUAGGCGGAUUUUUAAGUGAGUGGUGAAAUCCUAGAGCUUAACUCUAGAACUGCCAUUCAUACUAUUAAUCUUGAAUUCGGUUGAGGUAGCUGGAAUGUGUCAUGUAGCGGUGAAAUGCUUAGAUAUGACACAGAACACCAAUUGCGAAGGCAGGUUGCUAAACCGACAUUGACGCUGAGGCUCGAAAGCGUGGGGAUCAAACAGG
Molecule: ribosomal RNA, 253 nt
Filed under: uncultured bacterium
Lineage: Bacteria
Description: partial 16S ribosomal RNA
Rfam family: Bacterial small subunit ribosomal RNA
Source: RNAcentral